UGAGGAAUAUUGGUCAAUGGACGAGAGUCUGAACCAGCCAAGUAGCGUGCAGGAUGACGGCCCUAUGGGUUGUAAACUGCUUUUGUUUGGGAAUAAUCGACAUUACGUGUAAUGUUUUGCAUGUACCAUUCGAAUAAGGAACGGCUAAUUCCGUGCCAGCAGCCGCGGUAAUACGGAAGGUCCAGGCGUUAUCCGGAUUUAUUGGGUUUAAAGGGAGUGUAGGCGGUUGGUUAAGCGUGUUGUGAAAUGUAGAUGCUCAACAUCUGACUUGCAGCGCGAACUGGCUGACUUGAGUACACACAACGUAGGCGGAAUUCAUGGUGUAGCGGUGAAAUGCUUAGAUAUCAUGAAGAACUCCGAUUGCGAAGGCAGCUUACGGGAGUGUUACUGACGCUUAAGCUCGAAGGUGCGGGUAUCGAACAGG
RNAcentral lists this ribosomal RNA (424 nucleotides) under Verrucomicrobiota bacterium. RNAcentral's name for it is "Verrucomicrobia bacterium partial 16S ribosomal RNA". It matches the Rfam family "Bacterial small subunit ribosomal RNA", at positions 355 to 776 of the family's 1533-position model. The record is from RNAcentral. Lineage: Bacteria; Pseudomonadati; Verrucomicrobiota.